UUAGUAUCUACAUAGCCUUUAUUUGUCAACCUCGCGUCCUUUCAAAAUCAUCGAUUGAGGUUGAUUAACAACAACCAUCGCACAACUUUCCACUAUUCCCUUUAUUAUCUCUUUUUUUCUUUUGAUUUUCUAUUUUAUCAUAUGUUUAUGUCUAUGUAACUGAUUAUAUAUGAGCUGAUGUGUAUUUUGAACAACUAUGAAUUUGGGGAGAAAAAGCCGGAAGGAAAUAGAGAUCAACAUAUGAAGAUAGGCCAAUCGUGAUUGAUUUUGAGGUUGAUCUUAUAAAGCUAAAGCCUUCAACAUAUCAAGGUUAGCAUAUUUUUGGGUUUUUAUAGUGAUCUAUUGUUAUGCCCGAUUUCAGUUUUUUCAGGUUUUAUUGUGAGGUUGUUCAUCUUAUAAAAUUGAAGCCUUCACCAACCACCACUGUCGAACCACUCACCACCUUCAAGACCAUCACCAUCGCUAUUCUAGAAGGUUUUGGAGGUGGUGAUGUUUGUGGUGUGUAGCGUGGUUGAGCCAGCGACACCAUUAGUCUGUGUAGUACUAGAUUAAUCAGAUAAUGGCGGAUAUAGAUAAAGAUGGAAGUUGUGCAAAUGAUUUUAAUGGUAUCAAAAGAUCAUUUCGCUUUGUCAGUUCUAUGGUGAAAAAAGAUAUGGUUAAAGAAUAUUUGGAUCGUGGGAAUGUUGAAUCAAAUAAUGGAGAAUUUAAAAGUAACAUCAAGUCACUUCUUUUACAAUUUUGUUCAAGAAAGUUUACAGAUCUCCACCUUUACGAUGAAAUUGAUAUUCUGUCAAGAAUUGUUGAGACCUUAGUUUAUGGGUUUUCCUUAUUUACAUUAUGUGUGAGUUGUGUAUAACAAUUUCCAUAUGAAAAUUCUUUAUUUA
This is a non-coding RNA of Lactuca sativa (garden lettuce), 884 nucleotides long. The record is from RefSeq and is a predicted model, not a curated record. Lineage: Eukaryota; Viridiplantae; Streptophyta; Magnoliopsida; Asterales; Asteraceae.